GUUGAAGAACGCAGCGAAAUGCGAUAAGUAAUGUGAAUUGCAGAGUUCAGUGAAUCAUCGAAUCUUUGAACGCACAUUGCGCCCGUCAGUAUUCUGGCGGGCAUGCCUGUUCGAGCGUCAUUACGCCCCUCAAGUCCCCUGUGGACUUGGUGUUGGGGAUCGGCGAGGCUGGUUUUCCAGCACAGCCGUCCCUUAAAUUAAUUGGCGGUCUCGCCGUGGCCCUCCUCUGCGCAGUAGUAAAACACUCGCAACAGGAGCCCGGCGCGGUCCACUGCCGUAAAACCCCCCAACUUUUUAUAGUUGACCUCGAAUCAGGUAGGACUACCCGCUGAACUUAAGCAUAUCAAUAAGCGGAGGA
Molecule: unclassified non-coding RNA, 358 nt
Filed under: soil metagenome
Description: partial contains 5.8S ribosomal RNA, internal transcribed spacer 2, and large subunit ribosomal RNA
Rfam family: 5.8S ribosomal RNA (bases 1-120)
Source: RNAcentral